Molecule: non-coding RNA, 384 nt
Organism: Phodopus roborovskii (desert hamster)
Lineage: Eukaryota; Metazoa; Chordata; Mammalia; Rodentia; Cricetidae
Source: the annotation of a RefSeq genome assembly
CUCAGUAUGGACAUGAGGGCCCCUGCUCAGUUCCUGGUGCUCCUCCUGCUCUGGCUUCCAGGUGCCAGAUGUGACAUCCAGAUGACCCAGUCUCCAUCCUCCCUCUCUGCAUCUCUGGGAGACAGAGUCACCAUCACUUGCAGGGCAAGUCAGGAUAUUAGCAGAUAUUUAAUCUGGCUGCAGCAGAAACCAGGGAAAGCUCCUAAGCGCCUGAUCUACUAUACAUCAAACUUGGAUGAUGGGGUACCAUCGAGGUUCAGUGGCAGUGGGUCUGGGACAGAUUAUUCUCUCACCAUCAGCAACCUGGAGUCUGAAGACGCUGCAACUUAUUACUGUCUACAGUAUGAUAUUUAUCCUCCCACAUUGAUACAAGUUAUAACAUAA